UAGGGAAUCUUCCGCAAUGGACGAAAGUCUGACGGAGCAACGCCGCGUGAGUGAAGAAGGAUUUCGGUUCGUAAAACUCUGUUGUUAGGGAAGAAAAAAUGUAUAGUAACUAUAUACAAAAGAGACGGUACCUAACCAGAAAGCCACGGCUAACUACGUGCCAGCAGCCGCGAUAAUACGUAGGUGGCAAGCGUUGUCCGGAAUUAUUGGGCGUAAAGCGCGCGCAGGUGGUUUAGAAAGUCUGAUGUGAAAGCCCACGGCUCAACCGUGGAGGGUCAUUGGAAACUAAUAAACUUGAGUGCAGGAGAGAAAAGUGGAAUUCCUAGUGUAGCGGUGAAAUGCGUAGAGAUUAGGAGGAACACCGGUGGCGAAAGCGGCUUUUUGGCCUGCAACUGACACUGAGGCGCGAAAGCGUGGGGAGCAAACAGG
This 429-nucleotide ribosomal RNA is filed under the name Verrucomicrobiota bacterium. Its description in RNAcentral is "Verrucomicrobia bacterium partial 16S ribosomal RNA". It matches the Rfam family "Bacterial small subunit ribosomal RNA", at positions 355 to 776 of the family's 1533-position model. Lineage: Bacteria; Pseudomonadati; Verrucomicrobiota. The record is from RNAcentral.